Molecule: long non-coding RNA, 2954 nt
Organism: Brassica rapa (field mustard)
Lineage: Eukaryota; Viridiplantae; Streptophyta; Magnoliopsida; Brassicales; Brassicaceae
Source: RefSeq, a predicted model, not a curated record
CUGAAAACAUAUAAUCUGAAACUAUAAAAAAAAAAAAAAUUCACUUUUUUUAUUUUUAUUUUAUUUUUAUUUUAUUUAUUUAUUUUUGUUUGUUUAUUUAAUUUUAAACCAAAGGUAUUAGGGAUAUUUACCCUUUAAUGAAUGUCAUUUUUGUGACUUUCUCUUUCUAGUGCUAUUUUUGAGACAUAAACUUCAAAAAGUGCUAUUAUUGACAAUUGCCCUUUCAAAUAAGAGAGAUAUCUAAAAGUAGAAUCUACUCAUAUAUAAAAAAAAAGAUAAAUUUGAAAACAAUCAUGUCCAUACUUCAACAAGAACCGUAAAAAAAUAGAAAACACAAGUACUCACUUUGUGUCGAUGGCUUGGGACUGAACAGUUUUCUCAACUUCAUCACGUUUGCCGUUGCGACCAGUGAACUGGGGUCUUGGAAGCCAUUGCGAUUGGCAUUGACGCGGCGGCUGUGAUGUGGCUUGCUGAAACUGUUGUUGAUUCUGGUGCGAGUAACCGCCGCCGCGCUGGACGUAUUGUGGCUGAUGCUGCUGCUGUUGAUAACCCGGCCGGGACUGGAAAUUAGGGUUAGGGUUAAAGGCACCACGGCCAGCGCCAAUCCCCUUUCCUCCUCGGUUGUUGUUGUUGUUGUUGUUCAUCAUCACAGCUUGUUCUUAUCGAUAGCUAAAAAGCUAACUCUGCCUAACUCUGAAUUUGUACAGCAAUAAUAAAGAAGAACGUCUAGGGUUUCCUACGGUAACACAAAAACCUACUGCAGUGUCCACAGUGGACAAAAUCGCGAUUCAAUUUCACAAAAGAAAAACUAUUGCUGAGAAAUGUAGAGUUUGUAGAACACAAAAUUGGGAUUAGUCAAAGGAUUUUGGAAAGAGGUCGACGCGAGAAGAGAGCAACCAAAGAAGGGGAUAUUUAUAAGUAUUGAGAAGAAGGUUCUGUCUGCCUGCCUUGAGAGACAGACAACCCUCUUUCGGUGACUUGGUCGGAUUUCUUUCUUUGGCAUCCAGUUAGGGCUGGUGGGAGAGCUACACAACCGCGGCCUUGGGCUUCAAUUCUCCAACGGACCUUUCACUUUUUCUCUCUCUCUCUUUAAGCAGACAACGCAUAGAGAGUUAUCAUUUUUUUUUAACCACAAAGAGAGUUAUCAUUUAUGUAAUACUAAAAUUAAUUGAAAAGAAAAGUUUGUAACAAAUGAUGGAAUAGACAACAAGACCACCAAAAAUUAUAUAAUAGACCCCUUAUUUUUUCUCUUUUACAAAUAGAUUAAAAAUAAAUUAAAAUUAAGAUCGUAAAACCUGAAGACUUGAAUAUAUUUACUUAACCAAAAAAAAAAAAUAUAUAUAUAUAUAUAUAUAUUUGAGCGGGCCUAGUGGUCUAGUGGUAGUGGACGGGCCUUGGAUGUAAAUACAUUCCAGUGAUAUAUUUACUAAGUCACAUUAUUCUGCGUACCAUGGUUGCGGAUACGUCCGUAUGAAAAUCCGGAAGAGAGCAUGUCGUGGAUUGCACCUCCCAUCUGGAAGUUAGGUAUGUGUCUUUAAUAGACCCGAGUUUAACCUUUUUCUUUAACAAAAAAAUAAUAUUUACUAACACUGUAGUAAUAGCUUUGUACUAACACUGUAGUAAAAAAAAAGAGAAAAAAAAUACGCGACCUAACUUGUGUUAUAAAAAAAAUUACUAACACUGUAGUAAUAGCAUAAUUAACUUGUUUUUAAAAAAAACACAUGUCAAAAAAUUACUAACACUUUCGUGGGUUGCACUUUCCAUGUAAUUAUUAGGGCUUAUUGGCUAAACAGCCAUAUUUCAGUGUGAAAUUAGGUGAGUAGCACUGAUUUUGACAUAAUUAAAUGUUAGACUCUUUGAUCAUAUUUUCUCCGGUUCUGCCCCUUUACAUAAACGGUUGCCAGUUACAAUCCCUAAAAUAAGCGACGUGGUGUUUUCCAGUGGAAUAUAAACACAUACAUACCAAUACGCAGAUGAGAGGCCAGCUGUAUUUAUCACAUAUGAUAGAAAAUUAUGAAAGAAAAUGAGUGGAUAAUAAGAAUACGCGUUCUAUAUAUGGUAACGUAACGGAGAAACCAAUUCAGAACAUUGCUAUUCUAUAUGACACAAUAGUAUAUGUCACAAUGUAAAGGUCAAAUAGCAUGGAAGUGUAAAACAUCAGUAAACACACAGAGAAAUAUAUACUACACCAUAUUAACUAAUCACUAAACUUUACACAUAAAUAUGACCUCAAUGUGAACCCCAAUCUUCAAAUGACAAACCCAAUAUGCCAGAAACUAACCCUUCUUUAAUCACACUAAACCCUAAAAGGAAAUAUAAACCCUAACCCAAUUAUGAAACUAAAACUUUUCCAUAUUAAUUAACUCUUUAUCCAAUCUUCAAAUGGAGAACCCAAUAUGCCAGAAACUAGCCCCUCCUCAAUAAUCAGUAUACCCUAUACGAAAAUAUAAACCCUCAUCCUAUGUCACUUCAAAUCUUUGAUAAACUAAACCUAUCAACUAAUCACUAAAUCCUACACGGAAAUAUAAAUUCUAAUCCAAUGUCAACCCCAAUCUUUUAUAAAUUAAACUUAAAUUUUAAAAUGUCAGUAAAAUGCAAUACCAUUUUACAUAAGGCAUAUAAAAUAGAAAAUGUGAAAAUGUAGUUACAAUCUAAAGAUCAUCUUAACACAUUUCUCAAAUGUUGAUAUGGCUAUACCUUCAUGAAAUGUGGUUAUGCUUGCCCAAAUGUCAACCCAAUCAUACAUAACUAAACCCUAUCAACUAAUCAUUAAACUCUACAUGAAAAUAUAAAUCCUAAUCCAAUAUCCAAUGUCAACCUUAAUCUUUUUUAAACUAAAUCAAAACCACUAAUCACUAAACCCAACAUGGAAAUAUAAAUCCUAAUCCAAUGUUAAUCAUAAUCUUUCAUAAACUAAACCCAAAUUUUGAAAUGCCAGUAAGAUGCAUUUCCAU